AUUGGACGCUGGCGGCAGGCCUAACACAUGCAAGUCGAGCGGUAGCACAAGAGAGCUUGCUCUCUGGGUGACGAGCGGCGGACGGGUGAGUAAUGUCUGGGAAACUGCCUGAUGGCGGGGGAUAACUAGUGGAAACGGUAGCUAAUACCGCAUAACGUCGCAAGACCAAAGUGGGGGACCUUCGGGCCUCACGCCAUCAGAUGUGCCCAGGUGGGAUUAGCUGGUAGGUGGGGUAACGGCUCACCUAGGCGACGAUCCCUAGCUGGUCUGAGAGGAUGACCAGCCACACUGGAACUGAGACACGGUCCAGACUCCUACGGGAGGCAGCAGUGGGGAAUAUUGCACAAUGGGCGCAAGCCUGAUGCAGCCAUGCCGCGUGUGUGAAGAAGGCCUUCGGGUUGUAAAGCACUUUCAGCGAGGAGGAAGGGUAAUGUGUUAAUAAGACAUUGCAUUGACGUUACUCGCAGAAGAAGCACCGGCUAACUCCGUGC
RNAcentral lists this ribosomal RNA (491 nucleotides) under uncultured bacterium. RNAcentral's name for it is "bacterial SSU rRNA". It matches the Rfam family "Bacterial small subunit ribosomal RNA", at positions 30 to 508 of the family's 1533-position model. The record is from RNAcentral.